RNAcentral lists this ribosomal RNA (444 nucleotides) under uncultured bacterium. RNAcentral's name for it is "SSU rRNA". It matches the Rfam family "Bacterial small subunit ribosomal RNA", at positions 26 to 518 of the family's 1533-position model. The record is from RNAcentral.
AGAGCGAACGCUGGCGGCAGGCCUAACACAUGCAAGUCGAGCGCCCGUAGCAAUACGGGAGCGGCAGACGGGAUAGUAACACGUGGGAACGCGCCCUUCGGUUCGGAAUAACUCAGGGAAACUUGAGCUAAUACCGGAUACGCCCUUACGGGGAAAGAUUUAUUGCCGAAGGAACGGCCCGCGUCCGAUUAGCUAGUUGGUGAGGUAAUGGCUCACCAAGGCGACGAUCGGUAGCUGGUCUGAGAGGAUGACCAGUAUCACUGGGACUGAGACACGGCCCAGACUCCUACGGGAGGCAGCAGUGGGGAAUAUUGGACAAUGGGCGCAAGCCUGAUCCAGCCAUGCCGCGUGGAUGAUGAAGGCCUAGGGUUGUAAAGUCCUUUUAACGGGGAGAUAAUGACGGUACCGUAGAAUAAGCCCGGCUAACUUCGCGCCAGCAGCCGC